Molecule: ribosomal RNA, 959 nt
Filed under: uncultured soil bacterium
Lineage: Bacteria
Description: SSU rRNA
Rfam family: Bacterial small subunit ribosomal RNA
Source: RNAcentral
UACUGGGCGUAAGCCCCCGCAGCGUGAGGUACGUUUGCGUGACAGCUGCUGCUACGAGCAGAGAUGCGAAGACGCUGACUGAGGACAGAGAGGACCUGAAUCUGGUGGAGCGGUGAAAUGCGUGGAGAUCCGGAGAACACCAAAGGCGCAGCAGGGUCCUGGCUGGUCACUGACGCUGAGGGCGAAAGCUAGGGGAGCGAACGGGAUUAGAUACCCCGGUAGUCCUAGCUGUAAACGAUGACCACUAGGUGUGGGAGGUAUCGACCCCUUCCGUGCCGGAGCCAACGCACUAAGUGGUCCGCCUGGGGAGUACGGUCGCAAGAUUAAAACUCAAAGGAAUUGACGGGGACCCGCACAAGCAGCGGAGCGUGUGGUUUAAUUCGAAGCGACGCGAAGAACCUUACCAGGGCUUGACAUGUCUGUGCACCAGCCCGAGAGGGUUGUACCCGCAAGGGACGCAGACACAGGUGCUGCAUGGCUGUCGUCGGCUCGUGCCGUGAGGUGUUGGGUUAAGUCCCGCAACGAGCGCAACCCCUGCACGUAGUUGCCACUCCGCAAGGAGGGAACUCUACGUGGACUGCUCCGGAUAACGGAGAGGAAGGUGGGGAUGACGUCAAGUCCGCAUGGCCUUUAUGUCCAGGGCUACACACGUGUUACAAUGCAGGGUACAAACCGUUGCCAACCCGCGAGGGGGAGCUAAUCGGAAAAAACUCUGCUCAGUUCGGAUUGCAGUCCGCAACUCGACUGCAUGAAGCCGGAAUCGCUAGUAAUGCCGUAUCAGAAUGAUGGCGUGAAUACGUUCCCGGGCCUUGUACACACCGCCCGUCACAUCACGAAAGUGGGUUGCACUAGAAGUCUGCAGGCUAACCCGCAAGGGAGGCAGCGGCCCAAGGUAUGACUCAUGGUUGGGGUGAAGUCGUAACAAGGUAACCAAGGCGAUCGCAGAGCAAUAAUAGCCA